Molecule: long non-coding RNA, 10127 nt
Organism: Amphiprion ocellaris (clown anemonefish)
Lineage: Eukaryota; Metazoa; Chordata; Actinopteri; Pomacentridae
Exons: 2
Source: RefSeq, a predicted model, not a curated record
AGGGACCUGUGUCACAGACAGGGGGGGGAUGCAUUCAAGACCUGCAGGACAAAAAAGCCCUGCACGCUGUCGUGGACUGGGACUAAAGAUAACACACAACACGCAUCAUUGCAAAUAAAAAACAGGCUUCAUUUAGCGCACACUGAACCAAACUUUCUCUUUUUGUAAGUGCAGUUUUUAGGCUUCAUAUCAAUCACUCAGUCAGACCUUAUUUAUGUGGCACCUCUCAUACAGGUUAGCUCAGUUCAAAGCGCUUCACAGAUGACUGAUCAGCCGACAACAAGACGGAACAAGUGCAGAAUAAAGCUAGAUUUUGAAAAAAAAAGGAGAUAAUAUUGAACCCCGGUACAUUUUUUGGCAGUGGCUAAAAGCACACUGUAAAUCACUUGAAUUCUGAUUAGAAGCUUUAAAAUUGUGAGUUCAAUGCACUUUGGUUGAUUAUGUAGGUGAAGGUCAACCUAUGAGUCCUGUAAAUGAGCCGAACUGGAGAAAACAAGUUCAAUGAACAUAAAAUAUUAAGUUGAAUCAACUAGCGGUAGCAGCUGGAUGUGUUUCUUUUUAUAUUAGCUAACUUUAAAGUGUUUCUUCUUCAUUUAACAUCAUGAACUUACAGUCACAGCUGUUGAAGCCUUUUUUAGUCCGUACAAAGACAAUCUGUAAAGUUAAUUCUGGACUAAAUUCAAUAUUAAACUCAGUUAAUAUUGGAGUUAUUUUGAUUGUUAUGCAAUGAAAUUGAAUUGUUUGUUGCAAAGAAAUAGCCAGAAUUUAAUUUUACAACAAGUUUCCAUCAUGUCAGUUUCUUCAAAUUACAAAAAAAUCAAGACAAAAUUAUCUAACAAUGCACCCUGGGAAGUCUGCUUAUACGCUAGUUUUGUUUCCUAUAAACUUAAUUGAAUUAGUUAAAUGAACUUUCUAGUGUUCGUUCAUUGAACUUGAGUAAAAAUGCAAUAUAUAAAUAUCCUAUUUUUACAAUUAAAAGUGAUCUGAAAGUAAAAAUUAGGUUCAUUUAACUAUGAAUUAGCAAGAUUUACAUUUAUUUAACUGGCAAAAAAAUACAUUAAUUUGACUAAAUUCCUUUGGCAUGUCGAACAUGGUAAAGGAAUUUAGUCAUGCCAAAAAAUACUGAAAACAAAUGGAGAAAUAUCUGGUUAGAUUUUGUAAUAAUCUUCAACCAAAAACAUUCAUAUUCAUGUCAAUAAUCUGCAAAUUUUAGGCAUAUUUUUGUUCUGUUGCUUGUGUUUUCACCGUGUUUAACAUGUGAAAACUUUGGUUUCUUUUGCGAGAAUAACAAAGUUUUGCAGAAAAAUAUAUGUAUAUUUUUCUCACAUUGUCCCACAACUCAGGUGUCAUAUCUUCAAGUACUUUUGCACUUUUACUGGAUGCUAGAAGUGAAACUACUUCCCUCGCAGUACAACUCUUUGCCCUCCGUGAACUCAAACCCCACAAUAGCUGGAAAGGAUGGUGACCUGCCAGUGAGGCCUCGGCGAAAAGCAACCUGCUGCCAUGUUCAUUAAUCUCACCGUAAGCGAAGCCCUGUGACAGAACAGUGAUUCCUACUUGAGAGUUUUAUUGACUUAUCUGCUUAAUGUAGUUUAUACUAAGAGCUCCUGUUUAUUUUCUCUCCCCCUUUCUUUUUUUUUUCCACCAGCAGGAGGGAGGUAAUAGGCCCACUUCAGGGCAGGGAUACAAGCUAUUAGCAGUGAUUUUUCAAAGUGUUCCCACUUGUUAGCAUGCACAGAUCUGCUGAUCUAACAGAUAACACAACAACAAACCUGUCUACUCCAUUUGGGAAAAGCCCCCUCGCACUAUUUCAACUGUCUGAAAACACCUGCCCCUGCAGUUCCAGCAUCAAUUUGUGGUUUUCCUCUGGAGCUGAUGUUUGAAGAACGAUAGCGAUGCCGAUGACGGACGAACGUGACACGCGUGAAGCUCUGCACCAGAAUGCUGGAGCUGAUGCGUCUAAGCAGGGAUUAAUCACUGCAGCGAGACAGCCGGGAUCGCCUUGUGAUGCCAGGAACCAUCACAGUUUCAUUCAGGUAAUUAAUUUUAAUUGCUUUAUAUUUUAUUUGAAAUAAAAGAGAGCGAGAAAACAAGUUUGCCAUGCCCUGUGUUUUGACAUGCUUUCCGUGAUGACAAGCUCGAACAAAACUGUUGCUUCCAGAAGCUGCAGGACGUUUCUUGUUUAUUCCUCUCUGAGAUUACGCACACCCAUUUAUACAUGAAGAGUUUGGAAGCAGGGUGGUCUAACACACUUUCUGUAGUUUUUGAGAAAAAUGGGUUAAAAGCUUUGUGUUUCCAAGAAUGGUCAAACAUCUGAAGCACCGCAGUGUAGUUAGCUGUUUCUGUGACUUUAGCUAUGUAGUAAGCGUCUUUCUGUGACCAUAGCUGUGUAUUUAGCUGUUCUUGUAUUAAUUUAGCUGUGUAGUUAGCUGUUUUCUGUUACUUUAGCUGUGUACUUAGCUUCUUUCUGUAACUUCAGCUGUGUAAUUACCUGUUUUUCAGUUACUUUAGCUGUGUUGUCAGCUUCUGUCUAUGGCUUUAGCUGCAUUGUUAGCUUCAUUCUAUAGCUUUGGCUAUGUAGUUAGCUUCUUUCGAUAACUUUAGUUGUAUAGUUAGAUUCCUCUAUGACUUAGCCACAUUGUUAGCUUCUUCAAUCACUUAAGCUGUGAAGGGUUUGGAAGCAGAGUGGUCUAACACAUUUUCUGUAGUUUUUGAGAAAAAUAGGUUCAAAGUUUUGUGUUUUCAAGAACAGUCUAACAUCCGAAGUGCCACUGUGUAGUUUUUAUGAAUUUAUCUAUGUAGUUAGCGUUUUUUUAUGGCCAUAGCUCUGUAUUAACUGUUUUUUGUAUUAUUUUAGCUGUGUAGUUGGCUGUUUUCUAUUAUUUUAACUGUGUAGUUAGCUUUUUUCUGUAACUUCAGCUGUGUAAUUACCUGUUUUUCAGUUACUUUAGCUGUGUUGUUAGCUUCUUUCUAUAGCUUUAGCUGCAUUGUUAGCGUCUUUCUGUGGCUUUGGCUAUGUAGUUAGCUUCUUUCUAUAACUUUAGUUGUGUAGUUAGCUUCCUCUAUUACUUAGCCACAUUGUUAGCAUCUUUAAUGACUUAAAUUGUGUAAUAAAUGUUGUUCUAUGACUUGAAGGGUUUGGAAGCAGAGUGGUCUAACACACUUUCUGUAGUUUUUGAGAAAAAUGGGUCCAAAGUUUUGUGUUUUCAAGAAUGGUCUAACAUCCGAAGCGCCACUGUAAUGCUAUAUUUGGGUUGUGGGUUAGACCACUUUGCCACUAAAAUCUAGACCAAAAAAUAUUACAGAAAAGAUAUAUAACUCGGAUGUUUUGUGGGUUAGACCACUCUGCUUCUUCCCUCUCAUAUAUGUCACCUGGAGAAACAUAUUUUACAAUACAUGCAUGUGUUUUGAGCGUUUCUGCAGCUUCGCCAGCUCCUCUCGGCUCGGACAAUGUGGUGCUGGAGGCCAUGAAAGGAUCACGGCCUGAACAAUUGACGCUGAUCAGAUCAGAGCGCCACUCCAGGAUGACCUCAGGACCCCCGCAGGGUGCAACCCAAUCACAGCAGCCACCAACUCUGACAGAUGAGUGCAGCGCGGCACCCCACCCCGACACAAAAGUCAAGCCAUUGAAGUCACAGCAGAAAAAAAUCCCCCCUUUUGAUAAGUUCACAACUCAUGUGCGAUACCAAAACCCUUCCCCCAGCCUCCCAAAAAGCUUUUUGAUCUCAGGUGAGCUCCCAGGUAUCAGCGCCGGUUGUUUUGCUUUUACAGCUGGGUUUUUAUGGAAUAUGAUGAUCCUGCAAAUCCACUCGUGUUGUUGAAUGAGUGACACUGAUACACAACAAACAGUUCUCAGGUAACCUCCAGCAUGUGUAAAGCAAUAAAAAACUAUCAAACGCUGCUACACAUAGAGCCUCUUCCCUAUCAUAUCCAUCUCAAACUUCUAUUUUCCCAUGCAGGGUUUGUAAUCUGAUCAUCAAUCUCCCUUCGUGUCCUUGUCUUGCGUUUACCCGAGCGAAAGGAGCCACAUUAGCUCAUCUGCCAGUCGCAACAUCACUGAGUUCAAGUGUUGCUGACUUCACUCCGUCUGGUGACUGAGUGACUAAGGACCUUUAAUUACACUGUCUGCUUGCUCGGUUGCUGCCCAUUAAUCUCUCAGGCACGGGAUGGACCCGACUGGAUGAUGCUUUGCUGUGCAUUCAGACCACCGUGCCAACUUCAGCUGGGCUGCUAUGCUACAUGCCCACCGCUCUGACAACACCAGGCUUUCUGAUGGAAUCAAUUAGCAAACCGCAUGAGACUUUGUGGUGGACAUAGCAUGUUUAGACUGCAUUCCGUGGAUCUGCCAGCCUCUUUGUCUUUGUUUGCAGAGGAUGUGCCUCGCUUGAUCCGUACGGACAGACGAGAUGAAAGGGAUAUCUUUUUGGCUAGGUGCUAAUGAGAGUCUUAACCCGCGAGGCGCGUUGUGCAAACAGACGCGCACGCAGACGCAUGCAUGCCGACCACGUGUGCCACGCUGAUCCUGCCUGCUCUGCCUCACUUCUCGGAAGCUACGAGCGACGUGUCUCAGCAGCAGAGACCUCCAGAGAGGCAGAAUGCCGGGGGAAUCCGCUGCAGGGAAGGAGACGAAGCAGCCGAGCAGCAAAGCGAACUGCAGGGCUUGGCAGGUGCAUGCCUGGGCACGUCUGCGUGGGGCCUCUGCCGGCCCUGGGGGGGUUUUACGGCGUGGUUGGGGGUUUUCUCAGCAUCUAAACUGGGUUGAUGUGAAAGUAUGAUGGGCCACUGGAAACCACAGAAAUGAGGCAGAGGAAACAAAGGGAUUCCACCACACACCUCGCUUAAAGAGUGGAAAUUCAUGCAAUCAAGGCUGUAGCACUGUCAACAAAAACUUUCAAACUGGGCCACUCCCAGCGCAGCGAAAUCACGACAACAAGCUUCAGAAAUGGCAUCUCCCCCGUUUUGUCUCACAGCUUGAGUCAAAGGGUGAGUCAAGGAAUCUCGUACUGUCAGAACUAUGUUGCAGCUGCUGUGGUGGGAGGUCUGCGUUACAGAGUGCAGCACACAUAAGCUCACUUUGUGUGACAGCAAGUAAGAACCAGGUGACCCUCUGAACCUGUUGAACACAGCAUGAGAUCUGACCUCACCGGCUUUGAUCUGUACACAAGUUCAUGACUAGAGUCCCUUUACGAGUAUUUUAAGGUCAUUUUCCACUGCAGUGCUGUUUUAGGGUGGUCCGAACUUCCAGCUACAGGUACCACACCUGUAGAACCUCUAGCAGGAGUAGAACAAGUACCCACACCUGGGUAGCAACCCUAAAAAACUACUGUGCAGGACUCAAUGCUUAAUCAUUACACAUGAAGAGGACGAGGAUGAUUUUUCUGCCCUUUCGAUGUCUUUGUCCAAUGUAAAAUCCACCAUAAAGUCCGACAGAACAAACAUCCAAUCUUGUAUUUCCUACAUAAUUAGAGAACUAGAGUUAAGUCCAGUAACUACUAUUUGUUGUUGCUUUGACACAGUUGAGUUGAUGUUGCAGUCAAAGUUUUCUCUCUAUAUCAAACAGAAGCACAAGUUCUGUAAGUUCUGAUUACAUUCUUGUAAACACUUGUGGCACCUGGCACCAACCUCAAGUUCCUUGGAAAAACCCCCUUUACCAUCUCAGGAGUGCUGAUGUCCAAGUCUUUUUGCCUCAUUUGGCAAAUGAAACACCAUUACGAGGAACUGCCUACGAAACGCCAUGUUAAUUUAAAGUCAACUUAAAGAUUGUACAGGGCAAGAUCCACACUUUCUUGGAUCUUCUCCCUAACCUUUGGUAUAAUAACUUCGGAUAAUAAAAAAUAAUAUGAUAAAGAUGGUACUACAAUAAAAAAUACUUAGUUAUAUUGCACCUGUGUUGGCUAAAACAACUUUCAUCUUACCAUGAAGAGACUGUCCUCUAUAGUUUUUAUAUAGGAAGUUAUUUUGCGCAGCAUGUCCCAAAAACAUUGAACUUCUUUGUUUUCUAUCUAUGGCUAGCCAUUUUAACACUUACUAGCUGAGUCUGACCAACUACAAGUAAAAUUACAGGCAGCAGUGUCAUUUUGAGUAGCAGUAGUGACACUGUGACAAGUCAGAGUUUUUAUUCCAGGUAUCUAAAAUAUUUUAAAUAUCAUAAAACAACAGUGACAGAUAUCUGUAAUUCAGUUUCGAAUAAUAGUUGCAGAUAUCUCAAACAUAAUUUUGACUAGUCUGAAUUGCAUAAUGCAAGGCUUUCCAUUGGAUAUUGGUCAAUAAAGCAUUUGUUAGCAGAAGUAAUGACUGAUAUGGUGAAUAAGGUUCUAAGAAAAUGCUGUAAAAUAGGAAGAAAUGAAUAGUGUGGAGUUUGUGAAGACAUAAAAUUGACUUGUGGUUAAAUUUUACUGGAACUUUUGCCUCCAGUUUCUAUAACAUGGCAGUAAAAUGGCUGCUAUAGGUGUUUUUGCAGUGUAUGUUUGAAAAGCAGGCCACCUCCAGCUUGGCAUAGCUUCUGAUGUAACAACAGAUAUUUGCUUUGUCAUUGCGUCUAGUCAAAACUCUAAUUCUGGAUAUCUGUAAUUACUGUUCAACUGGGCCAAAUUCCAGUUUGAGAUCCAAAAUGUCAUUCUGAGCACUUCAAACUUAAUUUAAAAUACUUAAAACAGACAAUGUACAUAUUUUGAAUUCAAGGUGAUUAGUUAUCUUGAACCAGUAUUAUGACCAGUAAGAAUUAAACUUAAAAUGAUCUGAAACUGGAAUUUCUACUAGUCAUAAUUUGUUUUUAGGUAUGUCCAAUGUGAAUUGUAGACAUCUACAGCUGAAUUGAGGUAUCUAUAAUUAGAAAACCCACACAACUGAACUGUAAAAGUUCCAUCAUUUGUCCUGUAACAAUGACAGUGUAGUUAUCUGAAACUAUACAUAUUCAGAUGCAGUAAUUGUUGUUCAUGUCCAUUACCUUUCUUACUCAUUCUUUGUGUUUUGCACAUCAAUUGAACAAGGAAAUAACAUGUCACUUCCUGGCGCCAUCUUUGUUUUUGAAUGCAGAAGUCAAGUUAGCUUGAUUGUCUUUUUCAAAUUACAUUCUGACAUGAGUGUUUUUUUAAUGUUUUAAGAUACUUCAGGGAUUCUGGAAAUGUCUUCCAAAUUAUGGUAAGUUUUCUCAGACAAUGUUUUUACCCUAACUUUGGUUCGUAUGUGUUUAACCUUUAGCAACACAUCUAGCUAGCUAGCUAAAUGUUAGCUAUGUGCUUCUUGUUGAUUAGCUGACACCAGAGCUGGAAUAAAAUUGUCUAUUUCACUUUUUAUUCUUAUUAGUAUUACCAGAGAGGAGCUGGAUUAGUUUAACAGUGACCAUUUUAUGGACUUCUCUCAGUUCUUUAUAGUGAGUGUUUACUGUUUUACUUACUAAUUACUGUUUGUGUUUUAGUUAUCUGUCUUAUAUUUAUAGGACUUCAUUUGACUUCAGGCUGUGCAAGUAACAAAACCACAAAGUAGAAAUACUUCAUCACAAGUCCUGCAUUUAAAGUUUUACAGAACUAAAUAUACUUCUUGAUGGUGUUUGAUUGAGAAAUUAACACGUAUGCAGUAUUUUGCAUACAUGUAGCUGGCUAAAGUGAAGCUAAUUGCCUCUAAUAGGCUACUGUGGAGUAGUUUAAAUUCACACUAGGCCUGCAACCAUCACUUCAUUGUUGGUAAUUAUGUCAAUUAUUUUCUCGAUCAACCAAUUUGUUUGUCACAAAAUGGUUAAAAAUGUCAAUCGGUGUUUGUUAAAGCACAAAAUUACAUCCCCAACAAAAAGAUAUUCAGUUUACUGUCAUGAAAGAGGAAAGAAACCAGAAAAUGUUUACAUUUAAGCAGCUAGAAUCAAAGAAUUUAUACAUCUUUCCUUAAAAGAUGCUCAACCUGAAUAAUUGGAAAUCUAAAUAGUUGCAGAUUCAUUUAAUAGUUGACAACUAAAUGGUGAAUUGUUGAAACUCUUAUUUAUACAACUGGAUUUUAUAAGCUCAUCAUGUUUUGUGUACAAAAUCUGCAAAGUAACUACUGCUGUUGAAUAAAUCUUGCAGAGUUAAAACCCCAAAAAUGUAAGAGACUAAGAGAAAAAUGCAACUAGUUUGACUCAAGACUAAUAUAUAUAUAUAUAUUUUGUUAGUUUCCACCACUGGUGACACAAACUGAGAUGUUUUCAGGUUGUUUGUCAAAAGAAAAGGUAAAAGUUGUUUGUGAAGUUGAAGUCGCAACCAAAAUAUGAGAAUGAAACAUCAAGAAAAAGUGAAGAAUUGAGCAACCUGUCACAAUCAAUCCCUCGGUGCAUCAUUACUUAGACACUGUUUAAAGACUCAUGAAGCUACAAGGUUCCUAUUUCAAACUGCUUUUAUUAAAAUGACUGCAAGCAAUGCAAAGCUUUAUUUGUACUGUCUGCUCUGUAAAAGUGCUGCAUCCCUGUUGCCAGAUGUUAAAAACCUGCUGACAUACUGGGAAACUCUCAAGGAUGUUGCUUUCUGGUCAAGAGGGCAGGUAACGAUGGAUUUAUCGGCUUCUGGUUUGGAUUUUCAUGUUUUUUCUUCAGAUUCGAUCAUUAAAAUGCAAAAAUUGUCCACGAUACUCACGAAUCAGAUGAAAUUCUCUGUUUUAUUUAGAAAGAAUCAUUUAAUCAAGCACUGAAAUCUGAAGUUUCUGUACAACUAAGUAUGCUUGAUGGAGAGUUUGAAUGGAUUCUACCUUUACAAACAUGUUUCAGAGCUGAUAAAAUGCUUGCAUUCCAUUUCAUUCGCCCCUAGCAUUUAUUGAUGACGGCUGCCAGUUGUUUGUAGACAGGUCUGAAUAAGUUAACUUGUUUCAUUAAAAAAAAUAAAUUAAUAAUGUGGGGUUAUGCUGGGUUUGUGCCUGCAGCGCUGAGCCCUGAGUGUCUGCUGUGAGAUCCAAUAAGGGAUCCGCAAGGCCUCGGCAGCAACAGACUGCAGGAACGUUGUUUGCAUUAAACUCUAAUCUACCUCCAAUUUACCUCUAUAUGUUGACGCCGCAGCUCAACUUGUCAGAUUUGCCCGCAGGACGUCGUGUUGCUAAAUGAGGCCCUAGCAGAGCAGUCUGAAAACUCUGCCAUCAGAACCUCGCACAUAAAUCCCACGACAGGAUCCGUGGAGAGAUGAAGACACUCGAAAGAGAACGGUUGCAGGCAGUGUGGAGUUGGGACAAGGAGCCCCUGCAGUCACAAGUAUGGAGACGUGACGAGGGAAGCUGAGCAGGGUGUAAACUUGUGAACCUGCCUGUCAGGAAGAGAGCAGCCGAAGCUCUGCGCUGGAGAGCCUCGGUGGCAAAUGCACGGGAAAUGUAGUGUCUUUGUGCGACUGUAGGUGGACACAACAGAGUCUGAGCUGAAAGGACGGAGCUCGUUUGAGUCUUGGGGGACUGUGUGAAUGAAGCACGACUCAAACAGCGCAUUGUUCGUUCAUAAGGGGGCAGCUUGUUGGCCCCAGAUUGGCGGCAGCAUCCUCUGCGAAUCAUAACUCGUGAUGGAGCGUUCGGAAUCUCCUGGAAUUCUUCUGCGGAAAUUUCUGACACCGCACGGCGUCUUUAAAAGUAAUUAAAAAACUAAUUGCUGUUGACUUUCUCAUGGCUGAUUGAUCUGAGGGAAAGAAGAAAAAAAGAAAGAAGGCCCGCACUGGUUAAACCCAAUUCCUCUGAUCUGCUGUUGCAGGACGCCAUUUUUACAAAACCAACUGGGUUUUUCCUGCAUUGAGGAAUUUCUGGCACCACUCAAAUGAGUUUUAGCCAACACCAAAGGAAAAUCACCAGCGCCAAAAUAAUGGGAAUUGACAUUAAAAAGAGCAAUGCACUGUUUUAUAGACAAUUUUGCUAAUUUUUUUCAAGCACAAUGGACAUUUUUGCUUGUCAAAUUGCCAGAAAAUGCAUAGUUUUCUAUCAGUUGCCUUUAACUCGUGAGGAUCAAUCAUGCUUAAGGCCCAUUUUUUCAGUCUGAUCCAGGAAAAACACUUGUCAUGCAUGUAUUUGAUUCUCCAUUCUGCUCUUACAUGCCUCAGUAGGGCUCUGAAAUGUAUUGAAAGUUCACAAACUUGACAUCUUCUUGAAGAAUAUUGCUUGUUAUGGAAAUUCUUUAUUAAAACUUUGUAAAAAUUUGA